GCGCACCAGGCGAGAAAACUUCACACUGUGCGAAAGCACGAUGAGGGAAUCCCAAGUGCUUGCACGUAAGUGUAAGCUGUUUCUCUGUUUAAAACGCAGAGAGAGUAAGGGCUGGGUAAGACGGGUGCCAGCCGCCGCGGUAAUACCUGCAGCUCAAGUGGUGACCGUUAUUAUUGGGGCCUAAAAACGGUCCGUAGCCGGUUUAAUAAAUGCCUGGGUAAAAUCGUGUAGCUUAACUAUACGAAUUCCGGGUAGACUGUUAAACUCG
This 268-nucleotide ribosomal RNA is filed under the name uncultured microorganism. RNAcentral describes it as "partial 16S ribosomal RNA". It matches the Rfam family "Archaeal small subunit ribosomal RNA", at positions 330 to 595 of the family's 1478-position model. The record is from RNAcentral.